Molecule: ribosomal RNA, 507 nt
Filed under: uncultured Glomus
Lineage: Eukaryota; Fungi; Glomeromycota; Glomeromycetes; Glomerales; Glomeraceae
Description: SSU rRNA
Rfam family: Eukaryotic small subunit ribosomal RNA
Source: RNAcentral
AGCGGCCGCGGUAAUUCCAGCUCCAAUAGCGUAUAUUAAAGUUGUUGCAGUUAAAAAGCUCGUAGUUGAAUUUCGGGAUCAAGGGAUCGGUCAUGCCUUGGUAUGUACUGGUUUUAUUGGUUCUCACCUUCUAAAGAACCAUGAUGUCGUUCAUUUGAUGUUAUGGGGAAUUAGGACUGUUACCUUGAAAAAAUUAGAGUGUUUAAAGCAAGCUUACGCUUGAAUACAUUAGCAUGGAAUAAUGAAAUAGGACAUCAGAUUCUAUUUUGUUGGUUUCUAGGAUCGAUGUAAUGAUUAAUAGGGAUAGUUGGGGGCAUUAGUAUUCAAUUGUCAGAGGUGAAAUUCUUGGAUUUAUUGAAGACUAACUACUGCGAAAGCAUUUGCCAAGGAUGUUUUCAUUAAUCAAGAACGAAAGUUAGGGGAUCGAAGACGAUCAGAUACCGUCGUAGUCUUAACCAUAAACUAUGCCGACUAGGGAUCGGAUGAUGUUAAUUUUUUAAUGACUCA